RNAcentral lists this long non-coding RNA (5362 nucleotides) under Gossypium barbadense (sea-island cotton). RNAcentral describes it as "long non-coding RNA (GBAR_LNC007561)". The record is from RNAcentral. Lineage: Eukaryota; Viridiplantae; Streptophyta; Magnoliopsida; Malvales; Malvaceae.
UAUAAGUAUGUUACACACUAAUAAUUUUAAGAGAAAAAGAUUACGAAGCAUGCAUAAUCUCAUCUGUUCAUUUAUUUAUUUGGUUUCCUUUAUAGGGUAACUCAAAGUGGAUUUUGAAGAGGAAAAGAAAAAAAAAGCUAUAAUUUUACACUUUGACGAAAGAAAAUUAGUUGUAUACAUUGUAUUAUGCUUAUUGAAAGAACUUAUAUUCUCAUUCACUCUCAUGUGAGACAGAAUUCGAAUCCAAACAUAGUUUUGAAGAUUGUUGGAUGAUAUCUUGGACUAACAAAGUCAUAUUAAUGUAAGAAGAGCCCCCCACUUCAACAGCUUUUUUUUGCCUUCUCACCAAACUCUUUAGCACGCUUCCUUCUCUCUAUUCCUUCAUUUCUGUUGCGCGGAAGCGUGUGAAAGAGUAAAAAUAUUGUACUGAAAAAUCACACUAAGUUCAAUUCCCAGGAAAGAGAGGUAGAUCAUGAAGAUCACUUAAAUACCAAGUCUUUCCUAGCCAGAAUAUCCCUCUAUCGUAAUUUAAUAGCACAAUAAAUCACUACAAUCACAUUCACAAAAUAUGCAAAAUAAAUAAUAAAGAACACCAGAAUUUUAACGAGGUUCAGCAAAUUUUGCCUACGUCCUCGGGCACUACCAAAUAUAUUUCACUCAAAAAAUUACAAGUGAAUUUUACAAAUAGGGAGAGAGAAUAAUGCCUUAAGUAGAGAAUGGAAAUUAUGGGAUGAAGAAAGUAAGAAAUGGUUAGGCCUAUUUAUAGUUGAGGUUCAAGGAUCAACUCGUAAUGUCCCUAUACAAUUAGGGACCAAAAUUGCAAUUAUCCCAUGAUAACUUUUAACCCAACUUGCCAACCAAUCUUACUUUCUACUUUCGGUGCCCACCCUUUUUGACUUUUCAAACAAUGGGUGGGUUCCAAUAAUCUCCACCUUGAAGAUUUGAUUAGGAUAAUCUUAUCUUCACACAAUUCUUUCUGCCUUUGACAAUAAUACUUGAUAGUGCCUUCUUCAAUUGUUAAACUUGCAGGAUACUAAUCAAGUUCAAACAAUGUUCAAACUUGGUUAUUAUUACCACCUUGGUCAUCAUAUCUGCGGGAUUAUCUGCAGUCUUGAUCUUCUGAAGACAAAUUUUCCCCUCAUCAAUAAUUUCCUGCACAAAGUGGAAACGUACGUCAAUAUGCUUUGUACGUGCAUGAUAAACUUGAUUCUUUGCUAAAUGAAUAGCACUUUGACUAUCACAAUACACGUUAAUAUGCUCCUGGACCAAUCCCAAGGUUUUAGUCAUACCUUGUAACCAAAUAGCCUCCUUUACAGCCUCUAUUACAGCCAUGUACUCGGCUUCUGUGGUUGACAACGCAACUGUAGACUGUAGUGUAGACUUCCAACUUAUUGGUCCUCCAGCAAGUGUAAACACAUAACCGGUGGUUGAUCUUUGCUUGUCCAAAUCACCGGCAUAGUCAGAAUCAACGUACCUAAUAACACCUUUACCAAGUGUAUUAUCCUGCUUGAACAGUAAUCCAACAUCCACGGUCUUCUGAAUAUACCGUAGAAUCCAUUUCACAGCUUGCCAAUGUCCUUUUCCAGGAUUAUGCAUAUACCUGCUCACUAUACUAACUGCCUGUGAAAUGUCGGGUCUUGUACACACCAUUACAUACAUCAAGCUACCCACUGCAUUAGAAUACAAAACUUGCAACAUGUAUUCUCGUUCUGUAUUCGUCGAAGGAGAUAGUUAUGCAGAAAGCUUGAAAUGAGAAGCCAACGGGGUACUUACAGGUUUUGUCUGUUCUUUCAUGCCAAACUGCUGUAGUACCUUUUUCAAAUACUGCUUCUGAGACAAGCUAACUCUAUCAUGAGCUCUAUCUCUCUAUAUUUCCAUGCCGAGAAUCUUUUUAGCUUCUCCUAGAUCUUUCAUCUCAAAUUCGAGAUUAAGUUGAGUCUUCAAUCUUUCAAUCUCAAUUUUGCUCUUAGAUGCCAUUAGCAUAUCAUCAACAUAUAAGAGUAAGUAUAUGAAAGUUCCUUCUUGUAGCUUCUGAAAAUACACGCAAUGAUCAAAUUUACUUCUUGUGUACCUUUGCCCUUUCAUGAACUGAUCAAAUCGCUUGUACUAUUGCCUCGGAGAUUGCUUCAAUCCAUAAAGCGACUUUGUCAGUUUGCAAACCCAAUUUCUUUUCCAGCAACAUUGAAUCCAUCUGGUUGAGUCAUAUAGAUUUCCUUUUCCAAAUUACCGUGUAAAAGCGCAGUCUUCACAUCAAGUUGAACUAGUUCGAGAUCAUAUUACGCAACCAAGGCUAGCAAAAUCCGUAUAGAUGAAUGCUUCACAACUAGAGAAAACACUUCAUUAUAGUCUAUUCCUUCUUUCUGAGCGGAGCCCUUUGCUACCAAUCUAGCCUUGUAUCGAAUUUCAUUUUUACCAGAAAAUCCUUCCUUCUUUGCAUAUACCCAUUUGCAUCCAAUUGCCUUCUUUCCCUUGGGUAGUGUCACCAACUCCCAGGUCCUAUUUUUAUGAAGAGACUGCAUUUCUUCAUUCAUUGCUUGCUUCCACUUUACACCAUCAGGGUUACUUAUUGCUUCUGUGUAAGUAGAAGGAAUAUCAUCAUCUGCAAUUGGAAGUGCAUAGGCCACUAUAUCAUCAAAGCGAGCAGGCUUACGAAUCUCUCUUCUUGGCCUCCUAUAUGCAAUUGAAUCUUGUUGCUGUAGAGGUUCUUGGGUAGGAACCUCUUCAUCAUUUGUCCCUUCAAUAUUAGCUGGAUCAUCGUUAACCUUUUCAAGCUCCACCUGCUGCAAAGUACUACUGGUUUUGUCAUCCUUUUGUGAAUCCUUGUACUUUAACAUGGUUGAUUCAUCAAAAGUCACAUCUCUACUGAAAUCAAUCUUCCUUGUAUCAGGACACCAGAGAUAAUAUCCUUUUACUCCAUCAGUUAUACCCAAGAAUAAUGCUUUCUUUGCUCUUGGGUCUAACUUAGAUUCUUUUACAUGAUAAUAUGCAGUGGAACCAAAUACAUGUAAAGAAUCAUAAUCAGUAGCAGAUUUACCAGUCCACAUCUCCAUAGGAGUUUUUCUAUUUAUUGUAGCUGAUGGCAAACGGUUAAUUAGAUGGCACGCAUAUGUAACUGCCUCAGCCCAAAAUUCCUUGCCCAAUCCAGCAUUGGACAACAUACAUCGAACUUUCUCCAGUAUAGUUCGAUUCAUGCGUUCUGCCACCCCAUUCUGCUGUGGUGUAUCCCGAAUAGUGAAGUGUCGCACAAUGCCCUCAUCUUGACAUACUUGUAGAAAUGGAUCAUUUUUGUACUCAGUGCCAUUAUCUGAUCGAAGUCGUUUGACCUUUCGACCAGUCUGAGUCUCCACCAUCUUUUUCCAUUUCAGAAAUGCAUCCAAAACUUCACUUUUUCUUUUCAUUAGAUACACCCAUACUUUUCUUGAAUAAUCAUCAACAAAAGUAACAAAAUAGUGCACACCUCCCAAAGAAGCCACUUUGGUAGGUCCCCACACAUCAUUGUGAGCGUAGUCCAGAAUUCCUUUCGUAUUGUGAAUUGCUGGACCAAAUUUUACCCUCGUCUGUUUGCCCAGAACACCAUGUUCACAGAUUCCAAUUUGCAAGAAUUUGCACCUUUCAACAAGCCUUGCUUCGCCAAAGUCUGCAAAGCUUUUUCACCAGCAUGUCCCAAUCGCAUAUGCCAUAAUCUGGUAGCCUCUGAAUCUACAUCUUUUGUAGAAACUGUUGAUGUUGAUCCAAUAACUGUACUUCUAUUUAAAAAGUACAAGUUAUUUCUUCUUGAACCUUUCAUCACCGUCAAUUGCCCAGCUACUACUUUUAGUAAUCCAUCUCUCAAAGUGAUUGUGAGCCCUUUAGAUUCUAGGGCCCCUAAUGAGAUGAGAUUUUUCUUCAGGCUAGGUACGUAGCGAACAUCUGUCAAGACUUGGAUUGAGCCGUCGUGAUUCUUCAAUUGGACUGUACCCACUCCCAUUGUCUUACAAGCACUAUCAUUGCUCAUAAGAACAAUUCCACCUUCUAGCUCUUUAAGACUAGAAAACCAGUCCUUAUUAGGACACAUAUGGUAAGUACAUCCUGAAUCCAAAAUCCACUCAUCUAUUUGACAUGCCAUUGCCAUGCCAACCAAGCUAAAGUCUGACUCCUCAUCAUGCUCCGCUACACAUGCAUUAGAAAUAGCCUUGCCCUUUUGUAGCUUAGGACAAUUCUUUUUCCAAUGCCCUUUUUCACGGCAAAAGGCACAUUCAUCUUUGGCGGGUCUCCCUUUGGAUUUUCCCCUUCUACUAGAUUUACUACUGUGUGAGCGACCUCUUACUGUUAAGACUUCUGCAGUUGUAUCUCUGUGAUCUCUUUUAUCUUUCUUUCGAGUCUCAGAUCUAUACAACGCACUACAGACUGCAUCAAAUGUGUUCGUGUCCUUCCCAUGAAGCAAUGUGGUGGUAAGAUGAUCAUAUUCAUCAGGAAGGGAAUUCAACAACAAUAAUGCCUUGUCUUCAUCUUCAAAUUUCUCAUCCAAAUUUAGCAAGUCGGCUAAAAUUUUAUUGAAUGAGUUCACAUGGUCAUUCAUCGACAUACCAGGUGCAUACGUGAAUCGAUAAAGUUUCUUUUUCAUAUAAAGCCUAUUUUCAAGACUUUUCGUUAGAAACUUUUCUUCCAGUGUAUCCCAUAACUUCUUCGCCGAUGUCUCCCUCAUGAUAGAGUACUUCUGCUCUUUGGCCAAACAUAAGCGGAUUGUACCACACGCUUGUCUAUUGAUCUUGGCCCACUUCUUGUCAUCCAUCUUGUCAGGUUUUUAUGCAAGGGCUAUAUCUAGCUCUUGCUUACAUAAGACAUCCAGGAUCUCACAUUGGCACAUACCAAAAUUAUUGGUACCAUCAAAUUUCUCUACUUCAAAUUUUUCAUUUGUCACAGUAGUCCUUGCUGAUGACGAUGCUGCUGCCAUUUUUCUCCUCAAUCCCAACUACUGUAUACGUGAACAGUACUAUAUACGUAAAUAGUACUGUAUACAUGACUAGUGCCGUAUACGUGAAUAGUGUCGUAAAUGGUCGUAUUCUCCAAGUACGAAUUUGGCUCUGAUACCAAUUGUUGCGCUGAAGCGUGUGAAAGAGUAAGAAUAUUGUACUGAAAAAUCACACUAAGUUCAAUUCCCAGAAAAGAGAGGUAGAUCACGAAGAUCACUUAAAUACCAAGUCUUUCCUAGCCAUAAUAUCCCUCUAUCGUAAUUUAAUAGCACAAUAAAUCACUACAAUCACAUUUACAAAAUAUGCAAAAUAAAUAAUAAAGAACACCAGAAUUUUAACGAGGUUCAGCAAAUUUUGCCUACGUCCUCGGGCACUACCAAAUAUAUUUCACUCCAAAAAUUACAAGUGAA